AGGAGCCGGGUUGGGGGAGACCCCAGGUUCGGUUGGGAUUCCCAGCCAGAACGGAGCUUAAGCCGGGCAGGCGAGCGAAUGACCGAGUAGCGAGCUGCACGGCGGCGUGCUGCGCUGUUGAGGACGCUGUCCCGCGCGCUCCCAGGCCGUCCCGGGGCUUGGGGUCUUCGAAAGAUAAUCGGCGCCCGGGGCCGAACAGCGGGGGCACACGGGGCGCUGCCGAAGUGCAAGGCCACGGCCAGAGCUCGAGCCCGACGCGCUGUCUGGAGUCGUAGGUUGGCGUCGUUUGGGGUCGGGGUCUGAGGCUUGGGCGCUGCCUGGGCCGAGCGGAGAUCGGGGUUUGCCUCCCGUCCCCGCUCAGGAUCCUGACGUGGCUGAAGCGGCCCCGGGAGCAUGAGCGGGCAGCGCGUGGACGUCAAGGUGGUGAUGCUGGGCAAGGAGUACGUGGGCAAGACUAGCCUGGUGGAGCGCUACGUGCACGACCGCUUUCUGGUGGGGCCUUAUCAGAACGUGAGUGCACCUGGAGGGGCCAGGCACGGUGGGCGGGGAAGUGGGGGGGCGGUAAUCUGCACCUAUGGCCCCGAUCUCUUCCCUCUCGUUGCAGACCAUCGGGGCCGCCUUCGUGGCCAAGGUGAUGUCGGUCGGAGACCGGACUGUGACAUUAGGUAUUUGGGACACAGCAGGCUCUGAGCGCUAUGAGGCCAUGAGUAGAAUCUACUAUCGGGGUGCCAAGGCUGCCAUCGUCUGCUAUGACCUCACAGACAGCAGCAGCUUUGAGCGAGCAAAGUUCUGGGUGAAGGAACUGCGCAGCCUAGAAGAGGUAGGUGAACAGACCUCACUAGAACACUGGGGGCUGGGGUUCUGUUGGUCUGUGGAGGUGACCCUUGUCUUCUGCCUCAGGGCUGCCAAAUCUACUUAUGUGGCACCAAGAGUGACCUGCUGGAAGAAGACCGGAGGCGUCGACGUGUGGACUUCCACGACGUCCAGGACUAUGCAGACAGUAGCUGCUCCUCAGCCCUUUGGGGGGUGGGGGUGUGUGGCUGUCUGGGUGGAUCAAAGAAAAUAGGGACUGCCUUGGCUGCCAGGGCAGGGUGCUCUAGGAGGUCUUCCUGGCCUCCUUGAACCGUGGGGUCUACGAGACUCCCUGAACUGCUAGCCCUCCCUUUUGUCUGUUUAUCUAAUUCUCAGGUAUGAGGCUUUAGUCACUUCUCUUUACAGAUAUCAAAGCUCAGCUCUUUGAAACAUCCAGCAAGACAGGCCAGAGUGUGGACGAGCUCUUCCAGAAAGUGGCAGAGGAUUACGUCAGUGUGGCUGCCUUCCAGGUGAUGACAGAGGAGGACAAGGGCGUGGAUCUGGGCCAGAAGCCAAACCCCUACUUCUACAGCUGUUGUCAUCACUGAGUCAGCACUCACCUGGCCUGGGGGAAUUAAAGGAAUUCCCCAUAAGGGCUGGACCCAGCUCCUUUCUGGGCUUGGGUAGUCAAAUGUCUGAGCUACCCCAGGUCCUCAUGUCAGCAGAGUGGCACCUGCCUGUGCUGGCCCAUGGAACGGAGACAGCACUGGGCUGACUGUGGGCAUGAGGAGGGAUAAGGGCUGAUUUGGACCCCAGGCUUCUGCCCUGGACAGCACUUGUGUCUGCAGAUUAUUUAAGUGGCUUUUGAUCUGUAAAUAAAAUCAAUGCACUGUGAAUCAC
This 1692-nucleotide small RNA is filed under the name Pongo abelii (Sumatran orangutan). RNAcentral describes it as "retained intron". Lineage: Eukaryota; Metazoa; Chordata; Mammalia; Primates; Hominidae. The record is from RNAcentral.